GACGAACGCUGGCGGCGCGCCUAACACAUGCAAGUCGAACGGAGCGCACGAGAAGAUUUUCUUCGGAGAUGAUUUUUGUGUUGCUUAGUGGCGAACGGGUGAGUAACACGUGAAUAACCUACCCUAAAGUGGGGGACAACAUUUGGAAACAGAUGCUAGUACCGCAUAAGACUACGGUACCGCAUGGUACAGCAGCCAAAGGAGCCAUUCGCUUUAGGAUGGAUUCGCGCCUGAUUAGCUAGAUGGUGGGGUAACGGCCUAACAUGGCGACGAUCAGUAGCCGGACUGAGAGGUUGAACGGCCACAUUGGGACUGAGACACGGCCCAGACUCCUACGGGAGGCAGCAGUGGGGAAUAUUGCACAAUGGACGAAAGUCUGAUGCAGCGACGCCGCGUGAGGGAAGAAGGUUUUCGGAUUGUAAACCUCUGUCUUCGGGGACGAAACAAAUGACGGUACCCGGGGAGGAAGCCACGGCUAACUACGUGCCAGCAGCCGCAGUAA
Molecule: ribosomal RNA, 502 nt
Filed under: uncultured bacterium
Lineage: Bacteria
Description: partial 16S ribosomal RNA
Rfam family: Bacterial small subunit ribosomal RNA
Source: RNAcentral